UACGUAGGGGGCAAGCGUUGUCCGGAUUUAUUGGGCGUAAAGAGCGUGUAGGCGGCCUGGAAGGUCAGCUGUGAAAACUCGAGGCUCAACCUCGAGACGUCGGUUGAAACCACCUGGCUAGAGUCCGGAAGAGGAGUGUGGAAUUCCUGGUGUAGCGGUGAAAUGCGCAGAUAUCAGGAAGAACACCCGUGGCUAAGGCGGCUCUCUAGUACGGUACUGACGCUGAGACGCGAAAGCGUGGGGAGCGAACAGG
Molecule: ribosomal RNA, 253 nt
Filed under: uncultured bacterium
Lineage: Bacteria
Description: partial 16S ribosomal RNA
Rfam family: Bacterial small subunit ribosomal RNA
Source: RNAcentral